Salmo salar (Atlantic salmon) is the source of this 278-nucleotide non-coding RNA. The record is from Rfam. Lineage: Eukaryota; Metazoa; Chordata; Actinopteri; Salmoniformes; Salmonidae.
AUGGCUUCAUUAGAAGUAACGAGUUGACACAAGGUAAAUCUAACUUUGAGGCGCUAUUCUGGUGCGCGGAGCGCCCUCAUUAACUGUCGCUAACAAGCCGUGCAAAUACACUGAUUGGACAGCUCCCGUAUAACCCCGCAGACUUAGCAGGAUGCCCACUUAAUGAGACCACACAAAAAAAGAAAAGGAUAAGUUGGGAAAAACUCUUUACAGUCGAAUAAUUUGGAGUUUGGUGAAAUAGUUCAUGUAGCAUAGGCCUAUAGGUCUGGAUGGUUUGG